GACGAACGCUGGCGGCGUGCUUAACACAUGCAAGUCGAACGGAAAGGCCCUGCUUUUGUGGGGUGCUCGAGUGGCGAACGGGUGAGUAACACGUGAGUAACCUGCCCUUGACUUUGGGAUAACUUCAGGAAACUGGGGCUAAUACCGGAUAGGAGCUCCUGCUGCAUGGUGGGGGUUGGAAAGUUUCGGCGGUUGGGGAUGGACUCGCGGCUUAUCAGCUUGUUGGUGGGGUAGUGGCUUACCAAGGCUUUGACGGGUAGCCGGCCUGAGAGGGUGACCGGCCACAUUGGGACUGAGAUACGGCCCAGACUCCUACGGGAGGCAGCAGUGGGGAAUAUUGCACAAUGGGCGGAAGCCUGAUGCAGCAACGCCGCGUGCGGGAUGACGGCCUUCGGGUUGUAAACCGCUUUCACCUGUGACGAAGCGUGAGUGACGGUAAUGGGUAAAGAAGCACCGGCUAACUACGUGCCAGCAGCCGCGGUGAUACGUAGGGUGCGAGCGUUGUCCGGAUUUAUUGGGCGUAAAGGGCUCGUAGGUGGUUGAUCGCGUCGGAAGUGUAAUCUUGGGGCUUAACCCUGAGCGUGCUUUCGAUACGGGUUGACUUGAGGGAGGGUAGGGGAGAAUGGAAUUCCUGGUGGAGCGGUGGAAUGCGCAGAUAUCAGGAGGAACACCAGUGGCGAAGGCGGUUCUCUGGGCCUUUCCUGACGCUGAGGAGCGAAAGCGUGGGGAGCGAACAGGCUUAGAUACCCUGGUAGUCCACGCUGUAAACGGUGGGUACUAGGUGUGGGGUCCAUUCCACGGGUUCCGUGCCGUAGCUAACGCUUUAAGUACCCCGCCUGGGGAGUACGGCCGCAAGGCUAAAACUCAAAGGAAUUGACGGGGCCCCGCACAAGCGGCGGAGCAUGCGGAUUAAUUCGAUGCAACGCGUAGAACCUUACCUGGGUUUGACAUGGAUCGGGAGUGCUCAGAGAUGGGUGUGCCUCUUUUGGGGUCGGUUCACAGGUGGUGCAUGGCUGUCGUCAGCUCGUGUCGUGAGAUGUUGGGUUAAGUCCCGCAACGAGCGCAACCCUUGUUCACUGUUGCCAGCACGUUAUGGUGGGGACUCAGUGGAGACCGCCGGGGUCAACUCGGAGGAAGGUGGGGAUGACGUCAAGUCAUCAUGCCCCUUAUGUCCAGGGCUUCACGCAUGCUACAAUGGCUGGUACAGAGAGUGGCGAGCCUGUGAGGGUGAGCGAAUCUCGGAAAGCCGGUCUCAGUUCGGAUUGGGGUCUGCAACUCGACCUCAUGAAGUCGGAGUCGCUAGUAAUCGCAGAUCAGCAACGCUGCGGUGAAUACGUUCCCGGG
RNAcentral lists this ribosomal RNA (1344 nucleotides) under uncultured bacterium. Its description in RNAcentral is "16S ribosomal RNA". It matches the Rfam family "Bacterial small subunit ribosomal RNA", at positions 28 to 1378 of the family's 1533-position model. The record is from RNAcentral.